Molecule: ribosomal RNA, 253 nt
Filed under: uncultured bacterium
Lineage: Bacteria
Description: partial 16S ribosomal RNA
Rfam family: Bacterial small subunit ribosomal RNA
Source: RNAcentral
UACGGAGGGUGCAAGCGUUAUCCGGAAUCACUGGGUUUAAAGGGUGCGUAGGCGGCUUGAUAAGUCAGGGGUGAAAGCCCGCAGCUUAACUGCGGAACUGCCUUUGAUACUGUCGAGCUUGAAAGAGGUUGAGGUCAGCGGAACGUGACAUGUAGCGGUGAAAUGCAUAGAUAUGUCUCAGAACACCGAUUGCGAAGGCAGCUGGCUGGACCUACUUUGACGCUUAGGCCCGAAAGCGUGGGGAGCGAACAGG